AUUUUACUAUUCAAUCAUUCAAAGAUGCAAUUGGAAAGCCCUUCAACAGGUUAACAUUUUUUAUCUGUGCAGAGAAAGACUACAAAACACUCCGUCAAGGGGAUGAGACUGACAAUGAAGUUAUUAUUCAUCCAAGAUGGAGCAUGAAUAGAGACAACUUAGAAGACACCUUGCCAUUAUGUCAUAGUUCACCAAGAGAGGAAUCUAAGCCUGACCAACAAAAGAUUUCAGUCCCAAUUAGUGAAAAGCAAUUAGACAAAUGCACCACAGAAACAUCGACAAGUUCAUCAUACCUGACUGGGUCACAG
Molecule: long non-coding RNA, 308 nt
Organism: Erpetoichthys calabaricus (reedfish)
Lineage: Eukaryota; Metazoa; Chordata; Cladistia; Polypteriformes; Polypteridae
Exons: 4
Source: RefSeq, a predicted model, not a curated record